Molecule: unclassified non-coding RNA, 285 nt
Filed under: plant metagenome
Description: partial contains small subunit ribosomal RNA, internal transcribed spacer 1, and 5.8S ribosomal RNA
Rfam family: Eukaryotic small subunit ribosomal RNA (bases 1-54)
Source: RNAcentral
GGAAGCAAAAGUCGUAACAAGGUUUCCGUAGGUGAACCUGCGGAAGGAUCAUUAUUGUAUAACCGAGGUGCGAGGGCUGUCGCCGACCCGAAAGGUCGUGCACGCCCGAGUGCCCUCACACACAUCCAUCUCACCCCUAUGUGCACCACCGCGUGGGUCCCCCUUUGGCUUGUUCGGAGGGGGGCUUACGUUUUCACACAAACUUUGUAUGCAGUGUAGAAUGUAUUUUUUGUUUUUGCGAUCACGCAAUCAAUACAACUUUCAACAACGGAUCUCUUGGCUCUC